CCAUUACGAAAUCAUUGUAUCGUCAUCAGCGUAGUGCCACGGUUGUGCUCUCGUAAAAAGCCCAAACUGAAGCCCACAAAAGCCAGCUUUUUGUUCCAUAACAGUGCAGUUCCAGACAUCUUUAACAUUCACAUUCAUACAAUCACACACGCGCAAACGAAGAAGAAAGUGGCGUUCCGUUUGAUUCGACGGUGGAGUGAAAGAGAAAAGGCAAAAAAUUGAUUUUUCGCGUGGAUUUUUUUCUGUCGCUUGUGGAGUUACUAGCGCAUUUAAUCACACAAUUUGAUUGACCAGUGAACUGUGGCAAGUUUUACGGGACAAAAGUGCUAACUUGUUUUUGUUAUCGGUGACAUUUGCGGUCAAAUUUUUUCAUCGGACGACACGCGUCAAGUGUUCGACAGCCAGAAAUCGCAGUUUUGAAAAGUGCGACAAAGUGAGAUAAAAGCGUGUGCGACAAAUUAGAAGCGCGCCACUCGCAGUCAACUAUUUUCUGAAAGCCAGGUAAAAAAGAACAGCCUCAAAAUUACUACUUCAAUCAUGACGAACAAAGUGCUAGCGGCCGUACAAGAUUUACAAAAACAAAAUGGCGACUCGCAGAAUGCGACGGCGGCGGCUGCUGGCACGGAUAAUAGCCGUACCAAUCUUAUUGUGAAUUAUCUGCCUCAAACGAUGACUGAGGAAGAGAUCCGUUCGCUCUUCUCCAGUGUUGGUGAGGUAGAAAGCGUCAAGCUGGUACGAGACAAGAAUGUCAUCUACCCGGGUCAGCCGAAAGGUCAGAGCUUGGGCUACGGCUUCGUAAACUUCCAUCGUGCACAGGAUGCCGACCAGGCAGUAAGUGUGUUGAACGGGUUGCGACUGCAGAACAAGGUGCUGAAGGUGUCGUUCGCCCGUCCCAGUUCGGAGGGGAUCAAGGGAGCUAACCUUUAUAUUUCUGGUCUGCCGAAAACGAUCACGCAAGAAGAGUUGGAGGUUAUUUUUAGACCAUACGGUGAGAUUAUUACAAGCCGAGUUUUGGUGCAAGAUGGAAACGAUAAACCGAAGGGUGUCGGUUUCAUUCGCUACGAUCAACGUAAGGAGGCGGAACGGGCAAUUGCUGGUUUGAAUGGAACUACGCCGAAGGGGUUGACCGAUCCUAUUACGGUUAAGUUCUCCAAUACGCCAGGACAGAAUACGGCGACUAAGAUUGUGCAACCAGCUUUACCGACCUUCUUGAACCCCCAAUUGACUCGUCGGUUGGGUGCUAUUCAUCAUCCAAUUAACAAGGGUUUGGCUCGUUUUUCACCGAUGGGAGGAGAGGUUUUGGAUAUGAUGUUACCCACCGCACCGGCUAAUGGUAUUGGUGCCGUCGCUCCGUCCGGUGGAUGGAGCAUUUUCAUCUAUAAUCUCGCACCGGAAACGGAGGAAAAUACUUUGUGGCAACUGUUUGGACCCUUCGGAGCCGUACAGAAUGUGAAGAUCAUCAAGGAUUCCGCCACCAACCAGUGCAAAGGAUACGGAUUCGUCACCAUGACCAACUACGAGGAGGCGAUGCUGGCGAUCCGGUCACUGAACGGAUAUACACUUGGCCAACGGGUGUUACAAGUCAGCUUCAAAACCAACAAGUCAAACUUCGGUGAACACUAAAACAAAAAAUACUUGAUGUUAGGAGUUGCAGGUUUAUCAAACUCAUACGGGACGCCGCCACCCCCACCAGCCGACCGAUGAUCGAUAAACCACCCCCGUCGUCAUCAGUAACACGAUGGUGCAAUGCUUUCUUCACGCAUACACAAAAACCAGACUACUACGACAAAUUAAACAUUCAACCGAACGACGAGGGUGCGAUUUCCAUGCCGGCAAGUGAGAGGGUGCGUUCCGCUGAGUUUGGUAUUCUUUCAACAUUUCAUUCAACGACAGAGAGACGGGGGUGCGCAUGCGGAAAAUAUCAAAGCCAGCCGUGAAAAUCAAAACCCCUCCACGGCUGAUGCUGUUCAGCCUAAACUAGAGAGACAGUAAAGACUCUGCAAAAUCCGCAGCAAACGAACAGCGAAGCGAAACGAAACGAAAGGCAGAGAAAGAGGGAGAGCUGAAAACAAGAUGUUUAUUAGAAGGAAUUCAGAGUGAUGUGUGCAAUAGGAUGUGACUAUAUAUAUUUUCUUUCUACCCUUUUCUCACCUUAAUCUACCCAUUCUUGUUCUUGCUUUGCUUAGAUUUUAAAAUAAAAUGAGAUACUAUACACUUGGAGCGAAACGGACAGAGAGGACACUAUUUAUUUUAACCGAUUUUCAUACUUAUUUAAAAAAACUUAGUUUGGAUAGAAGAUCGUUAGUAAUUUAAGUAUAUUUUCGUAACUCUUUAGUGUAUUCAUCAAUGAUUUUCUGCAUAAACUGGCAGUUUGAUGCUCCCCAAUUUAAACAUUUUACAGUUUGCAACAAAUCGAAGCGUACUCUGUUUGUUUGAGUAUAAUUGCAAUAACGAGCAAAGAUUAUCAUUGCAGUUCCUUACUACUAAUCCGGUAAAUCAAAACAAAAACACAAAAUCGAAAAAGAAUCCAGCACAGUGUUUAAUGUGAGCAUAACAUUUGGUAACAAAAAAGUACAAAGAUGCUUGAGUGAAACAAGUGAAGUUAGCAUUCCUUCAUGUUUUAAAAACGGAAAUUAGUUGAUAAACAUACUGCUGGAUUCUUGGUCAUUCAAAAAUAGAAAAAUAAAAACAAACUGAAACUCAAACAAAAAGCAAAAGAAACUACAAAAUGAAAUAGCAUACAAGUGUUCAUCUUAUCAACAAACAAACAAACAAAAAAACAGCUUGUUUUCCGUUUAAGGAUUCAGUUUUGCAUUACAGCACCAGACAGAUACCACCUUUAGGAGGAUAUUGAGCGACUCUCAAACCACUUCGAAUAUUAGUAAUGAUGCGAACAUGAAUAGUAAAAGAAAGUCAUAAGCAUUUGUCACGUCGUCUAGUUUGAUUUAGUAUCUUCUUAUCUCACCUUGCGUUAUUUUUUUUCAACAAACUUCAAGAAUCAAUUUCAAACCUGUCACAAAAUGAAACCCGAAAAAAAUGCAAACUAGAUCGAUAGAAGCAUCAAUUAUGCUUUGAUUUGUCAUUAUUUGUAUUCGAAUUAAUCAGCGUAUGAUUUUAUUUUCCUGAAUAUGUUCUUAUGUGUAUAUAUAAAAAUUAUAAAAGCAAAACAUUAAAAUAGUAAAAAAUAUGGAAUACAAUAAAAAUUAUAAUUUACGUCUGUUUUCAUUUCCUUUUAUUUCUUCCGUUAUUCCGUUAUUGGUUCUCACCAAAAACAACAGCAAACAACAACCAGAAAAAAAGCAAACCGAGAUUUCAAUUUGGCGCGUGUGCUUUGUUUACUUCAUUUCGGUUAUUUAAUUUUUCUGUAUGUUGCGUCCUUUUACACAAAGCAAUCUCUAUAUAUGUUUUGUUGUGCGUCUCUGUUGGGUUUAUUAAACGUUUUUGUCACCUAUCCGGACAUCGUACCGUCCCACAUCCAUAUCUCACCAAACGAAUCCGAGUUUUUACUGUUUUUUGACCAAUACUCGCGCGCACAUACACACACACAGACACACCGCUACCAACCACAUCCCGACACGCGCUACAGCUGAAGAACACACGCUUUCCCCCAGAGGUCGAAACGUCGGUAGUGUCUUUUUGCCUACCGGUACACCGGUAAAAAAGUAAGACUUUCUUUUCAUAUUUUUGAGUUUUGAUGACAAAAACAUCCGGCAAGGAGAGGCUCACGAACAGAGAGAAAAAAAUCCGACUCGACUGUACGAUUCUUUGUUUUGGUAUGGGUUUUAUCCGGCUUCCGUUAUUCUUCUUGAGUAUUACAUACUUGGAGUUUUGCCACAUCACUUACAUAGGAACCAGUUUUCUGUUCUGUCAGUUUUUACGUUUCCGGAAUUUGUGUGCGUGUGUGUGCGUGUAUCGCAAGUUUUUUUUUUCAGUUCGGGAAAAGUCACGUUGAAAAGCCUACCAAUCAGAUUACACAUCGUUUCGUAAAGCGUAUUGUUUUGAGCCAAGAGACAAUAAUUUCGUUUGAUUAUUAUUAUUCUCUUUAUGUGGGUAAGUAAUGAAUUCGAUUUUCUUUCUUAUUACCAUUUCUAUUUCUUACGUUGUCUAUUUACUGUAUAACUAUGAAUUUAUAUCUUGUUAUUAUACGUUGUUUUUUAUUCAAUCAAAAUUCGCGUAUUCGACGUAGCAACACGGCAUAGUAGGCUGCGAAUCAAAUAUGCAAAUUUGAACACUAUUGUUCUCCGGUUACUUUCGGGUAUCGCUGGACCGGCAAAUCAUAUUAAAAUCAUGCAAGGUUGCGUGAGACACUCGAAAGAAAGAAAUAAUGUUUCCGUUAUUGUCACAUUUCCUUGUGUUGAAUUUGCUAAUUGCUAGAGUCAGUACUACACAAACACUACGGCAGCCUACUUAGGUCCUAGCCUAGUGCGCAACUAGCGCUGACUCCAGCCAUUGGACUGAUCACAUUAUUGUAUAUAAUGAAAAAAUUUCAUUUCAAUUAUAUUUUAAAAUUAUUUUUAAAUUCUACAGCAACGAAUUAUAGGUGUGUUUUUAAACGCAAACAUUUUGUAUUUUGUUUAGCAUGCUGUUUGUGAGUAGUUUUAUCACGCUGUCGAAAUUGAAAUAAAUUAAGUUGACAGUUUUGUUUUUGUUUUCACUUCAAAACCGUUCACAACUACAACAAACCAUUUUUUCAUAAUGUAUUUGUUGGCUCUUCAUUGCUUUCACUUAUUGUUGUCUAUUAUAUUUAUCAGCUAAACGUAUAAUAUAUUGUUAAUUUUUAUCGUUUAAUUUUCACAAACUUAUAAUAAAUCAUGAAAGAGCAUUUUUUAAUUUAUUUCCAGCAAUAGAUCUCAGCUGCAAAAGCAAGUAUUUGUUUAUCACUUCAAUUUUCCAGGUACAUUUCACAUGUUUAUUAUUGGUUUGUUGUUCCAUAAUUGCCGCAGCAGAACAGUAUAAGUUUGUUGUCUUGAUUUUUUCGUCAUAUGUUCAAAACCUGUAGUAAUUACAAAUAAAAGUCAGUUCGAAAAGAACUAUUACUUUCAAGAAGCACGAAAUGACGAAAAAGUUUGAGCAAAUAUUUCCCCUUUCUUGUGAUAAGGGAAAAAAAAGUCAGAGCAGGCUGUGAGUUUCUAGAACAAAGUUCUAGUUCAAACCAAAACAAAGACUGAAAAACAAGUACUAUACGCGUAGCACAAAUAUACAACAAUGAGCGGAAAAUAUAAAUUAUUUAAAAAGAAA
RNA transcript from Topomyia yanbarensis, 5238 nucleotides. It is a transcript of the gene named protein elav-like, with no coding region annotated. The record is from RefSeq and is a predicted model, not a curated record. Lineage: Eukaryota; Metazoa; Arthropoda; Insecta; Diptera; Culicidae. The transcript has 3 exons.